GUUUGGAUAGCUCAGCCGGUAGAGCGGCGGCCCGAAGAGCCGCGCGUCCCAGGUUCGACUCCUGGUCCAGACA
Molecule: transfer RNA, 73 nt
Filed under: Gemmatimonadota bacterium
Lineage: Bacteria; Pseudomonadati; Gemmatimonadota
Also listed under: 1 other name
Description: Gemmatimonadetes bacterium tRNA-Phe
Rfam family: tRNA
About the family: Transfer RNA (tRNA) molecules are approximately 80 nucleotides in length. Their secondary structure includes four short double-helical elements and three loops (D, anti-codon, and T loops). Further hydrogen bonds mediate the characteristic L-shaped molecular structure. tRNAs have two regions of fundamental functional importance: the anti-codon, which is responsible for specific mRNA codon recognition, and the 3' end, to which the tRNAs corresponding amino acid is attached (by aminoacyl-tRNA synthetases). tRNAs cope with the degeneracy of the genetic code in two manners: having more than one tRNA (with a specific anti-codon) for a particular amino acid; and 'wobble' base-pairing, i.e. permitting non-standard base-pairing at the 3rd anti-codon position.
Source: RNAcentral